Molecule: long non-coding RNA, 367 nt
Organism: Entelurus aequoreus (snake pipefish)
Lineage: Eukaryota; Metazoa; Chordata; Actinopteri; Syngnathiformes; Syngnathidae
Exons: 3
Source: RefSeq, a predicted model, not a curated record
CAUGUCCCUGACGCAAAAGAAGUCCCACUGCUUUUAAAUCGGCUUGUCUCUACCGCCACCUACAGCCUGGUGCCCAAAUGUCAAAAAUAAGAGCACCACGUCGGGCAGCCAGAUGUGUUUGGAAGGCAGCCUGACCUUCAGCAUGCCGUCAAACUCCUCCGGGACCCAAGUCAGGCGAUAGUCCUGCCACUCCUGUGGGCCAGAAAAAACCCCCACAUCAGCACCAGGAAGACAUACUGAGCGGAAAGAGUCUGUCGCUCUGUCUUUAAAUCAGCAUGCAGGCGAGGAACAAACUGUCCUCUCCUGCAACUUUUACAAGAGAGAUUUGAUCCUGAAUGGCUUCUAAAAGCAAUCAGCUUGAUUAAAA